This is a non-coding RNA of Phoenix dactylifera (date palm), 5863 nucleotides long. NCBI's taxonomy places the organism in Eukaryota, Viridiplantae, Streptophyta, Magnoliopsida, Arecales, Arecaceae. The record is from RefSeq and is a predicted model, not a curated record.
UAUAAAUUAUAUGUAUUAUAUUCUUUUGAAAAAGCAUGAUAUAUAUAUAUAUAUAUAUAUAUACAUACAUAUAUAUGCAAAAGGUUAUAAAUUUUUAGCUUGAUCCAAGCUGUAUACUACUAGAAAAGAUCCAACACAAAAUCAAAUGCUUAUAUUUUGAUACCAAGUUACACCAAAAUGCAUUCAGCAUUCAAUAUGAAAAGCCUAUGUCAUGUGCAUGUGGAAACAAAAACCUAUGUCACUUGGACCCUUUGGUUUAACAUUCCAUGCUCACACCCGACACUUGCACAUGUUUAUUAAAGUAAAACUUGGAUAUAGGGCAUGACAAAAUUGUUUAAUGUAGCAAAGGAUCCAGUAGUUAGACAAGCAUCAACACCCAACACAUAUUCACAAGUCCAUAAACAUAGAUGGAAAACUGACUUGCGUGGCAUAUAAGGUUAAAAAUAUUUAAUACAGAACAUGUGUCCAUUAGAGGUAUGACUGAAAUACAAGCGUCUCAUAUCAAAGACAUGCUGAUUACCAUCCACUAAAUGCAUGAGAAAUUGAUAUAUAUGAAAAUAGUAACUUCUACAGGCCAUAUGAUCAAGAAUAAAUCAUAAUAAAAAUCACUAAAAACUGAAAGGAUGGAUAAUUAUAUUAAGAAGGUUUAAGAACUUUGUUGAAAGGGUAGUAUUAUAGCAAGGUUGAAAAAACACAGAACACAGAAUGAAAAAAAAAUGUAGAAAAGGAAACAAUUACAGGUAACUGAUUACUAGCAAGCAACAGAUAAAUUUUCAACAUAUGUAUAACAUCCUAUGGCUUUGACUAAUAAACUUAGUUGAUGCCAAGGUAUAUUAGCCAUAACCAGAUGUAUGGCUACAAAUUCGUGCAGUUUUAUUCAGGCAAACAAAGUCACAUACAUUUCAUGCAAAACAAAAUAAAUAAGCAUGGCUUAAGUUUACUAGUUUAUAUGCAUAUCAAAGCAUAAAAAGUCAUUUUGAAUAACAAAAAUCUGAAACAUUCAAAAAACAAAAAACAAAUCACUUACAGCAAAAUUUCAAAUUUCGGUUGCACUCAAAUAUCAUAGCUUGUAUAAUAUUAUCAAUCAGUUUCUGAUAAAUAACACCUUGACUCACUAAAAUAAGUAUCCUAAUAUCCCAGAAUGACACAUUCCAUAAUCACAUGUUAACCCUCUGGAUCAAGGAUCCCUAUAAUACUAUAGUGAGUUGCAGAUAUUUAUUGAGAAAAAUGUCCGGCAAAACAUUACAUAUGCAUUUAGUAAUCAAAAUCAUUAAGUAACAGCAACAUAAAUUAAAAGUAAAACAUGUGCAACACCCUGUGUGAAUAUUAUUGAUCACCGAAAAGCAAAAAUACUAAAUUAGCAUAGGAAGAAGAAAACAUUCUUGCAUUGGAAUGUCUCGAAAUGAAUGGUUUCCAACUAGCUCCCAUAUGUGCAACUUUAUAUUCAUCUAUCAGUGUCUAACUGGAGUGCGAUAAAACACAAGAUUAGUUACUAUUAAAGUGAAUGCAUGUAAAGGCCAAAUUAAUGAUUUUUAUAUGCCAAGGAAAACACUGUGCACAUUUGGAAGGAGUUUAACAAAAUUCAGAAUCAUGAUUGCACAUUAAUGCAUGCGUCGGUUUCUGAAUAAGUAGUGGUUAAGAUUGACAGAAUGGGAUAAUUGAGGAUACAAAUUUUCCUUCAACCAUUCCAUGAAACUUCAGUGAUCAUUCUGUAAACCCAAUUUUAAUAAAGAGACAUGCCUGAUGUCUUCAAUAUCACAUUUAUCCCUCUUGAUAAACCAGGGGUGUGAUCCUAAAACUGUCACAAUAUUUUUUUUACAUUAUCUGCAUUUCCUAGUCCAUAACUAAGCCCUGAAAACUAUUAAGAACAGAAUAAAAAGUCUAUCCAGCUUGAAAGCUUUGCUAAGUCUUAUUCUUGGCUGCAUAAUUUUUGUUCUCUCUUCUUCAUACUCUAUUUCCCUCUCCCUCAUCAUCUCAGGACCAUCUAUCAAUUAACUAAUCCAGCAUACAUCGUUACCUGCAUACUCCUGCCACCUAAAAGUAAUUGCUCAGAUUUUCCUACUUGCAUUAUUUUUUGCCACAUAGUUGACAGCACAAAUCACAAUUUUCUUAUGAUACUCAAAUCAGAAUGCACUUGUCCCAGCACAUGCUUGCUCUUAAGCCAUUAAUACCAUCAUAACCAUCAACACGUACAAGCGUCUAUCAGUCUAUACAUGCUGAUUUUCCUCAGUCAUCCAUCAUGAUAUAACACAUGCAACAAAGAAGCCUCUUGCCUGAGAUCCUUUGACAAGUACAGCUAUUGAGGGAUCAUGAAUGAAUUAACAAAAGGCAAGUAGCUCAACUUUCAUGUAGCUGAUUACUAACAUGGUAUGGAAAUAGAUAGGCAUUAUAGAAUGACACCUAUUUAUGAGUGUGAUACUAGCACAUCGAUCUAUUCCAAACAUGACACCUAUUUAUUAGCACUUCAACAUUGUAUAUUAUUGGCUGUCAAUUCAUAAGACACAUGCCAUGCAACAAGGAGCUGGCUUUCAAGCCUUGAGCAUCCAACUAUGAUCCAAGGUCUGCUGUACCGACCUAUACCAUACCAGUAAGGUACUUGAAUGGUAUCGAGAUUCAGCUUGGUAUAUGGGUUGAACCAAUCCAUACCGGUCUAAACCGAGCGAAACCACCAGGUGCAUACCAUACCGUACCGCCCUAUGCCCAUUUCCAAGCGAUACUAUGGUAAAGCUCCCGAAGAAGUUGAGGAUAGAGGGCAGGCAAAAUGCGAAAAGGGUGUGGGGAGCUGUCUUGAAAUAGGGUGUGUACCAUACUGUACCGACUCAUACCGUCCUGAACUAUUAACAUGCCAGUACGAUACCUAGUAUUUAUAUUGUGGACCUUAAUGGUAGUAUAAUUCAAGCUUUCUACUUAGGUUACACCUUCCCACUUUUAGUCCUUAUAGACUCAAUGCAAGUUUAAAUAUAGUCCUGCUACUGCAUAAACUAUUAAUUCUCUUAGGCCCUUCUUGAUUGAGGUUAAUAGGAAAUAUGGGACAGUAAUCUAAUUAUUCUGUUAAACUAUUAAUUCUUCUUAGGCCCUUCUUGAUUGAGGUUUAUAGGAAAUACGGGACAGCAACCUAAACUGUUAAACAACCUUUUGCAAUGCACUUGUUUCAGGGGCAAAAUGGGAACUACAAAAAGUUGAAAUGGACAUUUUUCCCACCUAAUGCAAAUAACCUGGAAUAAAGCUACUCUACCAGAAAAUGGAACGCUUUUAUCCUGGAUUUGAGCAGGUUAAGGGUAGUUUAUUCUGGGUUAACCACUUUAUCCAAGUCAUCUUGUUCCCAAUGAAAUAGGACCUUAAGAAGAUAGGUACAAAACGUAGUCAUCUGCCUAACAUCAUGAGAUCCAGGUUUUUAUCGACUAACCAGAAUCCCCAAGGUGAUGAGAGGUUCCCCGAAGCUUUUUAACUAGGACAUAGCAAGGCUGAUGGCUUAUGCCCGCAACCAACUCUAUAAAUAGCUCUUACUCUAGUCUACAAAAACCCACUUCAUCUGACAACUUUUGUUCUAAUCUGACCAAGUAAAAUUUUCCUUAUGGAAAAUCUCAAUUUAGCCCCAUUCAGUAGCUCUUACUUCAAGCACAUUUCCCUUGAAAAUCCAUUUUUUUAGGUCCUAUUUCCAUAAUUAGUCUCGUUCAUGUUUCAAGCUCCAUGGAGCUUGCUUUAAAUGCAAUGCUAACACCAAAUCUGAUUCAGAAUAAUAAUAAGCUUAAAGCCUUGGUCAUAACUAGGAUUAUCCCAAAGCAACAACUAAGCAGCUAACAUCCUCCAUAGCCAAUUCUACAAGAGUGCCUACCCUUUUCCGAGAAUGUCAUGAAAUGAUAAGCAAUAACUUUCACUCUAAUCCCACCAUGUAAAAUUUAAGGAAGAAUGAUGUAAAUCAUUGGCCUUCACAAAAUUAUCUAAUAUGGCAUGAUACUUCUUGUAUAUCAUAAAACCGUAUAAAUUAUUAUACAUAGGCCCUUCAUGAAUUCAGUAUUAAAUAGAUAAAUUACGAACUGCAGCCAGUUGUAUGGGCCCCCGUAACGAGAAUGUAAGAUGACGAGUGUACAUAAUAGUCUUGACUCUCAAAAGGCAUUCUAAGUGAUUGAUCACCCACCAACGUUAUUAUCUUGUUUCCCUUGUAGAAUAUCUUGCUAUAUCACAAUUGGUGCAGGCUCACUACAAAAGCAUUGUUAGAAGUCCAUUACAUUGAUCUUCAUUCUUUAGUCAUAAGGCAAACCUUUCAUAAUAAAUAAAGAUGAUGCUAGUGAGCACUUGAAAUAGCUCUUUUGUUGCCUUCUCCAUAUGUUCUUUUAAAAUAUCUGCUUGUCAUUGCUUGUUUCUUAUUUUCCAUCAAGAUUGAGAAAUUUAAAUUCUAGCCAAAACUCCCAGACUCUCAACAUUCAGCCAAGUCUCUUUUAGAAGUUUGCAUUGGUCACUUCAGGAAAUUAUUUAAAUGGCCUAGCUUUGCAUGUGGUGCCGAAGUGUGGAUUAAAUUCUAAGAUUUGAACUACAAAAUGGGACAGCUGGUCUUUAAACUCUAGUAAGAACUUAGUAAGAACACGAGCUUAAUGUUUUCUUUUUUCAGGUGAGAAAUUUAUUGGCAUCUUCAACGGUUUGGAGGCAACAGUUAUGUCUCACUCCAUCUCUAACUAGGAGUAACAUUGCUAUCUAAAGUAUUAAAUGACUGGAAAUAUUUCCAAUCUUUUUCACUAAAAAAAUGGAAGAGUUGCUUAACCAAAAAAAAUGAUUAGAAAAGUCAUUAAGUAUUCAUAUGACAGAUAAAAAGGAAGAAAUUUAUAGUAUUAAAGUGGUCAGCAUAUGAGGAAAUUAUCACAUUUUUGGGAAUACGGAUGCCCUACCAUCUCAGCCAUGACAAGAUGAACCAGCCAUAGCAUAUUCCUUUUCUUCAAUAUAGUUUGUAUUCCUACUAUCUUUUAUCUUCCUUUUCCUCUCCUACCAUUUCUACAACUUGUGUGGCUGAAAUCUAGAAGAAUCCUUGCGGACCUUUUUUGGUACUUGGACGCUCAUAUCCAGCUCCAAAAAUCCAUGUCGGAUUCAUAUAUCCGAAUUGGAAAAGCAUCAGAUACUUAGAUGCUUAUCAAGGAUACCUUUUUUUAACCAUAUCUUUUAAUAACUGGGAGAGAGUUGGACUCUUCGAAUGAUGAGUCUAACCCUAUAAUAGUGCUAAAAUUAACUUUUGUUCUUUUUAGAGAUUGGUCAAGAAUAUUAGUAUUUAAAUAAGUUUGUAAAAUGUCAUUUUUCUAAAGUCUUGAGCUAAUUAAAAAGUUUGGAUAAGAAACGUGCAUAUUGAAACACCAUAAAAAUAGUAUUUUUAAGUUUUCUUUCAUACAAUAUUUGAAUAUCCUUUGAUUAUAUUUUUCUACAUAUCCCCAGAUCUCCUUUUUCUCCUCUUGCCGAGUCAAACUUGGGCGCAUGUCCAAAUGCAAUUCUCGUGUCCACAUCAACAUGCCAUUGGUGAACAUACAUGCAAAGCUUCCAUAGAACACAGAAAUGCUUCCUAGAGUAUUUAGCAUUUAGCAAUGGCACGCAAACUACCCAAGAGAAAAAAGUCACCAACCUUCAAAUUAGAUACCUAUGCCAAACAUCAUAAUCCAAGAAAAAUAACUUAGUCCUCAUGAAGAUAAUCAUGGAAAUAAGAUUUAAAAUGUUGAAUAUGACAGCAUUUUACAGCCGCAAGUAUCAGUAGUGGUCGUUACAUAUUCCUAGAGGAAGUGGAAGUAUCAAGAAAGGUGAUCUAUACCAUAUGUGCAUCUAUAAUAUUGAUAAAAUAUUUUCCAUAAGUACUAUUUAGCAUGGCAUUGUGUGGCCAUGAAAUUAA